AUGGACUUCCACCCCACACCCUGGCCUGCCCUGAUCAGCACAGCCAGCUGCCCCUGUCCCACAGAAGCUCCACAGAAUGGGGAAGGACUACACCAACUGAGCAUGUCCAGGGGCUACAGGAGACCUGCUGAACCCACAAGCAUACUGGCAUCAGAAGAGCGACAUCACUGAUGUCACAGCAAAUCCUCCAAACAGAGAAAAGGGAGGAGCCAAGUGCCUGCUCUCAGCCCAGGAGACCAGCACCCUGAGGGCAAAGAUGCUUAGACCUGUCCUUCCUGACCCUGCCUGGGGACCCAGGCUCCUCUGCUGCAUCACCCUUUGUGUCCUGGGAGCAGGUUCAGUGGAUGCUGAAAUCAUCCUGUUCCCAAGACACCUAAUCAGAGCAAAGGGAGGAAAGGGCACUCUGAAGUGCUAUCCCAUGUCUGAACACAGAAGUGUGUCCUGGUACCAGCAGGCUCUUGGUCAGGGGCCUCAGUUCCUUGUUGAGUACUUUGAAAAGAUGCAGAGAAACAAGGGAAACCUCCCUGAUCGAUUCUCAGCUCAGCAGUUUGAUGACUAUCACUCUGAGCUGAACAUGAGCUCCUUGGAGCUGGGGGACUCAGCCACGUAUCUGUGUGCCAGCAGCUUGCACAGCCCUGCAGAGUCACUGGCUUUCUGUACCCUAACCUUCCUGUCCCAGCUGAGGGUGUUCUAGGCAGAGGAGCUGUGG
Marmota flaviventris (yellow-bellied marmot) is the source of this 709-nucleotide non-coding RNA. NCBI's taxonomy places the organism in Eukaryota, Metazoa, Chordata, Mammalia, Rodentia, Sciuridae. The record is from the annotation of a RefSeq genome assembly.